This 211-nucleotide long non-coding RNA is filed under the name Capsicum annuum. RNAcentral's name for it is "long non-coding RNA (CANN_LNC008410)". The record is from RNAcentral. Lineage: Eukaryota; Viridiplantae; Streptophyta; Magnoliopsida; Solanales; Solanaceae.
AAGUCAUGACUUAUCACAAUAUUUCUUAAUUUAAUUAAUUCAUUACUUUUUACAUUAAUAAAAAAUGUAAUUAAUAAAUGGAGGUGAACAGUUUGAUUAUAUGUUACAACAGAUAUGUUAUCUGAUGCAACAUAUUUGAUAUUUGUUGCAACAGAUAAUAUAUCUGUUUUCAUAGAUGUGUUAUCUGAUGCAACAAAUAUAGAAUCUGUUG